RNAcentral lists this ribosomal RNA (230 nucleotides) under uncultured bacterium. RNAcentral describes it as "partial 16S ribosomal RNA". It matches the Rfam family "Bacterial small subunit ribosomal RNA", at positions 104 to 334 of the family's 1533-position model. The record is from RNAcentral.
CGGGGUGGAGUAAUGUCUGGGAAACUGCCUGAUGGAGGGGGAUAACUGCUGGAAACGGGAGCUAAUACCGCAUAACGUCGCAAGACCAAAGAGGGGGACCUUCGGGCCUCUUGCCAUCGGAUGUGCCCAGAUGGGAUUAGCUAGUAGGUGGGGUAACGGCUCACCUAGGCGACGAUCCCUAGCUGGUCUGAGAGGAUGACCAGCCACACUGGAACUGAGACACGGUCCAG